AUGGAAAAUUUUCAAAAAGAGGAACUGGAAAACGACCAGGAAAUGGUCAAAGACCAUGUGGAGAUGGGAGGAAAGGAGGAUGUCAAAGAUAGAAACUCUAAUAGGAGGAAGCACCUACAGAAGAAGAAAAAAGAAGUUAGUAUGGAGGAUGUCAAAGAUAGAAACUCUAAUAGGAGGAAGCACCUACAGAAGAAGAAAAAAGAAGUUAAUAUGGGUGGAGUCUAUAAUAAAGACAUAUUAGAGGGUAGAAAAAGGAUAUUGUGUGUAUGGGUAUGGGUAUAUUUGCAUAUGCAUAUGUAAGUGUAAGUACAUAUGCCUAUCAAAAAAUAUAUACAUGAGUAUAUACACAUUUAUUUGCCCCAUUUAUACCCCGCCUUUCUCACCCCAAAGGGGACUCGGCAGCUUACACAUGGCACAAUUCGAUGCCCCAAAACACAUAUAAAAUCAAAGCUUAAAAUAUUAAAUAUUUAAGAAUUUAGACAUAAAAAUUUGAACAUUGCAACAGUUAAAAAUCACGCCAACCAAAAAAAACCAUGGUCUAAAGCCAUUCCAAGGUCAUUAUACAUUUUAGACAUCCAUUCUUGCACUGCACAGUUAUCCAAAAGCUUGAUCCCAGAGCCAGGUCUUCACUUUCCUUGUGAAAGCCAAAAGGAAGGGAGCUGAUCUUACAUAUGUGCGUAUACACACACAGCUAAGUGAACUAAACAAUGUAAACUAUUGAUGAGUUCAAUAGAAUAAGUUAGUUAUCAAGAUAUAAAAAAAUAAUAUAUUGAGUGAAUUUGACCCAUAGCAAAUUUCAGAGUUGGAUUAUGAAUAGCAUUAUCCAAAUAUGGUGUUGAUAAUUAUGUUUAAAGAGAGAGAACCGGUAAAAAAAAUACAUAAUAAAGAUGUAAAAUUAAUAGAAAUUGCUAAAAGGUAGUGGGAUCCAGUUAAAAAAUAGAAUUCUGUUAAAAGUUCUAAGUGUAUUUUAAAAGGAAAAACCAGAUGUAAUCUUUUCACAAGAAACACAUCAAAAAAGGACUUAAUAAACUGAAACUAAACUGGAUUGAUAAAUACGAAAAAUCGUAUGGUACUUCAAAAGCUGGGAGGUAGCAACAUUGAUAUCUAAAAGAAGUGAGUUCAUAAUGGAUAAAAUAAAUAGAGAUGAUAAGGGAAGAUAAUGAUAUAAGGGCAAAUAAAAGACAAGGAUAUGACGUUAGUAGACAUGUAUUCACCAAAUGAAAAACAAAUCCUCUUAUCUGGCGUCCUACAAAUCCGAGGAAUUUUCAAGGGAGCGUAGAUUAGACAUGAGAACACAGGGCGUGAAAAGCUGGCAAUUAGAUAUUCUUAGAGGAUUCGCGAUAAGACCUUGAAGUCCAGAUGUGUUAGACAUGAUGUCAUGGGUGCCUGGGCAGGCUCAAAUUAAGUGAUUUUGGUUUCCAGCCUUUCAGAGGAGACAAUGUAGCUAAUGGGGAAUGGUCCCCUGUUCAUGGUUCCAAGUUCAUGGUUCCUGUAUUGUCAAGAUUCCUGUUUCAUGUUCCUAUGUACCUUUGGAGAGGUUCUUGUUUCCAUGUUCAUGGAUAUACCUUUAGAUUGAUUCAGUGAUUUUAGAUCCCUUUGUUUUGGUGUUUAACCUGGCAUUUUUGGAUUACUGCUACUGGAUUACUAAGUUUGUCUUCAUAAUUCAGAUCAAAUCUGUUAAAUUUGUACUUACGAAGCAAUAUCUAAUACAUGGGCAUGGCCUACACCAAAAAUUUAAGAAUCAAAACUUCUCCCAUACUUUUUCGUUUUAGUUUUGUAAAUCUCGUAAGGCUCCCAAAGUCAGUUUCAUAUUCACUGCAAGGAAGCAAAGCUGAAAGCAAAGCCAAAGGCUGCCUUAGUGCCUUUCCUUUCCUCUGUAAAGUAAUGGAGCCUUGGCAUUAGGAGCGGGGAAAAUAGGGACGAGUGUUUUCUGGGAACAGCACAGAAAUCUAGGAAAUGUAGUAUGAGAUGGAAGGAGCCCUAUGCCAGAAAAUUCAAAAGGCCCUGCCCUAAACUACAUUUCCCAGAAAGCAGUGGACUGCUCAGCAUCAAAGAGAUUUGCCCCUCUGUAGCCAACCAGAGUUCCAGUAAAUUAUCAUUUUUGUUUCUGGGUUAUAAAUGUAAUUACUUAAUUGGUUCUAUCAUAAUAACAUGGCCAAAGUUUAUUAAACUGCAAAAACCUUGUCUUUGCACUAGGGGCAUUAUGUUAAAGCACAUUUUGCUAUCCAGUCCACCAAUUUAACAUCGUCAUCCACCCAUUUAAAAAUGUUUUCGGUGCAAAAACAAAGUUCCUGGUGCAGAACCACUACUUUCAAAGAAAGGAUUACACAAAUAAACAAGCAACAUAUUUUCUUUAUUAUUAAAAAUAUUGUUAAUAAAAACUUUGAAAAUUCCACAAAAUCCAUGGAUAAGUGAAAUGUUCUGGAAUUUGGUGGGCUAAGAGUGGUAAAUGUGUUCUACCUUGUAGCAAGUUUCACCCCAAUAGCUUUAAAAAUGAGGGAGAAAGGUGCCCCUAAAGUUUCCUCAUUUAUAGUAAUUAUGCACAAUUACUAUAACGAAAUAGUAACGAAAAUUUGUUACUGUUGUUAAAGUAGCUAAUCUUUCAUUAUAAUUUAGAAACACUUCAGAAAUGAAAUGCCAGCACCGCCCAGUUUUGUAAUGACUUCUGGUCCUUUUUACGGAUCACACAUCCCUACAAAUUAUAUAUCAGUAUUAAUAUCGCACAAAAUUUUUACUCCACAAUUUUCACACUUAAGAUGCCAACAGUUAUUUACAGGUGGCAGAUCAUUCUUCUACCAUAGAUUCCAAUGUGGCAUUACAGCCACUUUAUCAGGAUAUUUUAUAAGAUUUUAUAUUUAUUGAUUUUUAAUGCAAACUAAUUCACAACAGAAUAAUCAGCAUUCUGAAGGGAAAAAAAGAAAAAUGAUACAUAUACAAUAUAAAUAUAUAGUCAAACCUAAACCUACAACUGUAACACAUUUCUGUACUAUCAUGCUAAACUAUUAAAAUAAACACAAUUUAACUAAUAACUAAGACACAAAAACUCUGGCUCACACUCUAUAUAAAACAAUUUAAAUAUAUUAAUCUAACAUUUCAGAGAUAGCAUAACUAUUUAUAUUAUUACAUGAUUCGAUUUCCUAUUGAUUUUUUAAAAAAGUUUGUAUUAAUAUAUAAAUUUUAGAUCAACAACUUUUAUCCAUUUGGAAAUUCACCACAUGUGAAAAUUUGUUUCCUUAUCAUGACAAUCUGAGCAUUUAUUUGAAGCAUUAGACAGCUUAUUUAGGGUUAAAUAGCAUCUAUACAUAAUCUUGUACAUACUAUCUUUUAAAUUAUCAUACAAACUCAAUUGUAUAUCUUUACCCCACAUUUCCCUGAUACAUCCAUU
Anolis carolinensis (green anole) is the source of this 3385-nucleotide long non-coding RNA. The record is from Ensembl. Lineage: Eukaryota; Metazoa; Chordata; Lepidosauria; Squamata; Anolidae.